GACGAACGCUGGCGGCGUGCCUAAUACAUGCAAGUCGAACGCUUCUUUCCUCCCGAGUGCUUGCACUCAAUUGGAAGGAGGAGUGGCGGACGGGUGAGUAACACGUGGGUAACCUACCCAUCAGAGGGGGAUAACACUUGGAAACAGGUGCUAAUACCGCAUAACAGUUUAUGCCGCAUGGCAUAAGAGUGAAAGGCGCUUUCGGGUGUCGCUGAUGGAUGGACCCGCGGUGCAUUAGCUAGUUGGUGAGGUAACGGCUCACCAAGGCCACGAUGCAUAGCCGACCUGAGAGGGUGAUCGGCCACACUGGGACUGAGACACGGCCCAGACUCCUACGGGAGGCAGCAGUAGGGAAUCUUCGGCAAUGGACGAAAGUCUGACCGAGCAACGCCGCGUGAGUGAAGAAGGUUUUCGGAUCGUAAAACUCUGUUGUUAGAGAAGAACAAGGACGUUAGUAACUGAACGUCCCCUGACGGUAUCUAACCAGAAAGCCACGGCUAACUACGUGCCAGCAGCCGCGGUAAUACGUAUGUGGCAAGCGUUGUCCGGAUUUAUUGGGCGUAAAAGCGAGCGCAGGCGGUUUCUUAAGUCUGAUGUGAAAGCCCCCGGCUCAACCGGGGAGGGUCAUUGGAAACUGGGAGACUUGAGUGCAGAAGAGGAGAGUGGAAUUCCAUGUGUAGCGGUGAAAUGCGUAGAUAUAUGGAGGAACACCAGUGGCGAAGGCGGCUCUCUGGUCUGUAACUGACGCUGAGGCUCGAAAGCGUGGGGAGCAAACAGGAUUCGAUACCCUGGUAGUCCACGCCGUAAACGAUGAGUGCUAAGUGUUGGAGGGUUUCCGCCCUUCAGUGCUGCAGCAAACGCAUUAAGCACUCCGCCUGGGGAGUACGACCGCAAGGUUGAAACUCAAAGGAAUUGACGGGGGCCCGCACAAGCGGUGGAGCAUGUGGUUUAAUUCGAAGCAACGCGAAGAACCUUACCAGGUCUUGACAUCCUUUGACCACUCUAGAGAUAGAGCUUUCCCUUCGGGGACAAAGUGACAGGUGGUGCAUGGUUGUCGUCAGCUCGUGUCGUGAGAUGUUGGGUUAAGUCCCGCAACGAGCGCAACCCUUAUUGUUAGUUGCCAUCAUUUAGUUGGGCACUCUAGCGAGACUGCCGGUGACAAACCGGAGGAAGGUGGGGAUGACGUCAAAUCAUCAUGCCCCUUAUGACCUGGGCUACACACGUGCUACAAUGGGAAGUACAACGAGUCGCUAGACCGCGAGGUCAUGCAAAUCUCUUAAAGCUUCUCUCAGUUCGGAUUGCAGGCUGCAACUCGCCUGCACGAAGCCGGAAUCGCUAGUAAUCGCGGAUCAGCACGCCGCGGUGAAUACGUUCCCGGGCCU
Molecule: ribosomal RNA, 1382 nt
Filed under: uncultured bacterium
Lineage: Bacteria
Description: bacterial SSU rRNA
Rfam family: Bacterial small subunit ribosomal RNA
Source: RNAcentral